Molecule: ribosomal RNA, 461 nt
Filed under: uncultured bacterium
Lineage: Bacteria
Description: partial 16S ribosomal RNA
Rfam family: Bacterial small subunit ribosomal RNA
Source: RNAcentral
CCUACGGGUGGCAGCAGUGAGGAAUAUUGGUCAAUGGGCGGGAGCCUGAACCAGCCAAGUCGCGUGAGGGAAGACGGUCCUAUGGAUUGUAAACCUCUUUAGGCGGGGAGCAAUGCCGGGCACGCGUGCCCGGAGGGAGAGUACCCGCAGAAUAAGCAUCGGCUAACUCCGUGCCAGCAGCCGCGGUAAUACGUAGGGGGCAAGCGUUAUCCGGAUUUACUGGGUGUAAAGGGAGCGUAGACGGUUGUGCAAGUCUGAAGUGAAAGCCCGCGGCUCAACUGCGGAACGGCUUUGGAAAUUGUGUACCUGGAGUGCUGGAGAGGUAAGCGGAAUGCCUGGUGUAGCGGUGAAAUGCGUAGAGAUCAGGAGGAACACCGGCGGCGAAGGCGGCUUACUGGACAGUAACUGACGUUGAGGCUCGAAAGCGUGGGGAGCAAACAGGAUUAGAUACCCCGGUAGUC